CUAGACUUCUUUGAGAAUCUGGCAGAUGACAGAGAUGUAUUUACAGUCAUGGUAGCAAAACAUAGAAGCAUGCAGACCAUGUUUUACUCUCACCAAAAUGUGUUUCUCUGUCACAACCACAAACCACCCCUAAAUGGGAACUAAGUCAAUUAAUACUUUUGUCUGACAAGCAACCACUAUUAGAUUUAUUUUAUGAUGUUGACAUCUUUCUGCCAGUCAAAAUAUAAACAGAAUAGUUCAAAUGGUCAGGUUUGGUAAUAUUAUCAGAACCUCAGUGCAGCAUGGUAAUAAAGUUCAUGGGCAUGAUAGCCUACGGUGACACACAUCCUUUACUGUUACUGAAAGAAGGAUUGAUGGGCCACACAGCCCAGCAAAAGAUAUCGUGAGUCCAUCAGUGCUGAAUCAUUGAACAGAAUAAAGCCUUGUGUGCUGCCCCAAGAAAACAGACUUGAAACACAAUGUGCCAUCUCUCCAUGACUGUCAUGGGAACAAUUCUUAGCACUAAAACCAUGACUUAUCUGGCCCAUGUUGACCAGUUCUCACCCCAGAGCUACUCCUUUGAUGUGGCUCUCAAAACCACAAAUAUUCCCAAGAGGAAUCAAAACAACACAGCACCAAAAAUUCAGUAUAAAUGCUUUUAGCCACUCUCAAAUGCCAAUAUUCAGUAGGAAGCCUUGUUGCUCUGGGUGUGGAUAGUUUGAGAAGAAAGGUGGAAAAAAAAAUCACAAAUUGCCUUCAAGAUAUGACAUGAUGACACAAGUGGUGAAAGUUAAUUUUUAACUG
This 783-nucleotide long non-coding RNA is filed under the name Marmota monax (woodchuck). Lineage: Eukaryota; Metazoa; Chordata; Mammalia; Rodentia; Sciuridae. The record is from RNAcentral.